Molecule: ribosomal RNA, 547 nt
Filed under: uncultured bacterium
Lineage: Bacteria
Description: bacterial SSU rRNA
Rfam family: Bacterial small subunit ribosomal RNA
Source: RNAcentral
UGGGGAAUAUUGCGCAAUGGGGGGAACCCUGACGCAGCCAUGCCGCGUGAAUGAAGAAGGCCUUCGGGUUGUAAAGUUCUUUCGGUAUUGAGGAAGGUUGAUGUGAUAAUAGCACAUCAAAUUGACGUUAAAUACAGAAGAAGCACCGGCUAACUCCGUGCCAGCAGCCGCGGUAAUACGGAGGGUGCGAGCGUUAAUCGGAAUAACUGGGCGUAAAGGGCACGCAGGCGGUUAUUUAAGUGAGGUGUGAAAGCCCUGGGCUUAACCUAGGAAUUGCAUUUCAGACUGGGUAACUAGAGUACUUUAGGGAGGGGUAGAAUUCCACGUGUAGCGGUGAAAUGCGUAGAGAUGUGGAGGAAUACCGAAGGCGAAGGCAGCCCCUUGGGAAUGUACUGACGCUCAUGUGCGAAAGCGUGGGGAGCAAACAGGAUUAGAUACCCUGGUAGUCCACGCUGUAAACGCUGUCGAUUUGGGGGUUGGGGUUUAACUCUGGCGCCCGUAGCUAACGUGAUAAAUCGACCGCCUGGGGAGUACGGCCGCAAGGUUA